GACGAACGCUGGCGGCGUGCUUAACACAUGCAAGUCGAACGGGUCUGCCCUGUUUUUUGCGGGGUGGGUCAGUGGCGAACGGGUGAGUAACACGUGAGUAACCUGCCCCUCACUUCUGGAUAACCGCUUGAAAGGGUGGCUAAUACGGGGUGUUCUGGCUGUGCCGCAUGGUGUGGCUGGGAAAGAUUCACUUUUGUGGUGUUUUGGUGGGGGAUGGGCUCGCGGCCUAUCAGCUUGUUGGUGGGGUGAUGGCCUGCCAAGGCUUUGACGGGUAGCCGGCCUGAGAGGGUGGGCGGUCACACUGGGACUGAGAUACGGCCCAGACUCCUGCGGGAGGCAGCAGUGGGGGGUAUCGCACAAUGGGCGGAAGCCUGAUGCAGCGACGUCGCGUGAGGGAUGGAGGCCUUCGGGUUGUGAACCUCUUUCGCCGGUGAAGAAGGUCCUGCUCUUUGUGGUGGGGUUGACGGUAGCCGGGUUAUGAAGCGCCGGCUAACUACGUG
Molecule: ribosomal RNA, 500 nt
Filed under: uncultured bacterium
Lineage: Bacteria
Description: partial 16S ribosomal RNA
Rfam family: Bacterial small subunit ribosomal RNA
Source: RNAcentral